UGCUGUCAUGUGCAAUUGUUGUUUUCUAGACCUCUCAAUACUCUUUGUAGUCCAUUGUUUAUAAGUACUUUAAUUUUUUUUUUUUUAUUGCUUUUGAUCAUUUUUGUCAAGGUCAGUUUCAUUCGGUUUAAAAAAAAAAGGCACAAAGACAAAGCAGUCCCUCGUUCAUUUUCAAGGCGAACUAACAAUGAGUUUGUUCACAUGUGUGGGAGUAGAACUGAUGUCUGUGGUUUUUAAGAAAAUGAACACGUUUGCAACCUCGAGCCAACAGCUGAAUGGGAUUUGGACAAGUGAAGAAAAUGAAGCUCAUUUGGAGACACGGUGAAUGUCACAACAUUCCCCAGCAGAGCGAGCACUGUUUGCAUUCUGAUUACACGUGGUGCUUCUUGGUCUGGCUGGGGAAACUACACGGCGCCCCCUAUCGGAUGACAAAGGGAUUAAACGCAAAGAACGGUUGUGAGCAACUCUUUGCACGCCAAUGAAAUGGAAACACCUGGGUUAUGAUGACAGGUAUUUUGAUUAUGUCGCCUUAACAUGUAUGUACCAAAACAACAAUGAUUUGUGAUGCUUGGUUCCAUUUUGAAGUUGGCUUAUUGAGAAAGACAGCAGAUCGGUGGUAGGCCUCAUGAAAGAAGGUCUACUGGAGAUUUUGUAAGAAGGGUUUACCUGUCAAAUGAAAGUUCAGUCCAAAAGUC
Long non-coding RNA from Hippocampus comes (tiger tail seahorse), 695 nucleotides. RefSeq lists it as uncharacterized. The transcript has 3 exons. The record is from RefSeq and is a predicted model, not a curated record. NCBI's taxonomy places the organism in Eukaryota, Metazoa, Chordata, Actinopteri, Syngnathiformes, Syngnathidae.